Molecule: long non-coding RNA, 2665 nt
Organism: Solanum tuberosum (potato)
Lineage: Eukaryota; Viridiplantae; Streptophyta; Magnoliopsida; Solanales; Solanaceae
Exons: 2
Source: RefSeq, a predicted model, not a curated record
GCGAAGCGGCGACCUCAUUCAUUCAUUCUAACAACUCAUUGCCCUAUUUUCUCUAGAUCUAGUCUAUAUAAUGAUAAUGACCGAGACCCGUACAUAAGAUCGUUCUAGCUUAUCUCCUUCUAAGGAAGUCUGAGCUCCUUCCCAUGCUAAGAGCCUUUCUAAACUCUUGAACUUAAGAGAGGCUUCUUUUCAAGCUGAUGAGUAGAAAUUGAGUAUAAAGAAAAUGACAAAAGAAAUCUCACACGGAGAUCAGUGUACCCAUAGAUCUAUAUGAAAAAUAGAUAUAUGAAAAUUCAAGAAAUUCGUUUUCAAAAACCCGGGAUUUCAGAGGCGAACGACGACAUAAAGGUUCCCCAAGUCAUCCAUGGCGGCCGGGCAAGCUCUCCGUCGAGCUGCCGAUUUCCCUCCUAUCCUAAUGACAAAACCAGAUUCAGAGGUUGUUUCUCUUAAGACGAAAACGUACGAUUGCAGUCACGAAGGGUUUCCACCCUACGUCAUAAUUUUAAUGCUUUUUUGUUAAGUAACAUGAGCACCUGGGGAGACCGGAGAGCUGUUGGCGGGGCAGAAGCACUCUUAACUGGGGGGAAUGCUUUCUAUUCGGCCUUCGAUUCGAUGAUGCCUGUCUCGUUGUGGUAGAAUAGUACUCCACCAUCCGAUACCAAACGCGUACGGAAACAAAAGAACGACCCAUGUCCAUCGUUCUUCUUCUCCAUAGCGAAACCAAACCCAGAAACAAAGCAAAUCGCGAACCAAAUCCAAUUCAAAACCCAACAAACUAGCCCAUCGUUCGCCAUAGACACGCUCCUCUCCCCUUUUUCUUCCAAAGCGCAAAAAUCAAUACCAAGAACCUUAAUUUCGUCAUCCAACUACACCGCCAAUCACCAUUAACAGUCUCUCCCUCCAUAUUCAAAGAUUGCAAACCUCGAGCUUGAUUUGUUGACUUUGGAUUAGAUAAAAAUCUCACCCAAAUAUGAUACGAAUCGGAGCUAUCACAUCGAGUCCAGAAUUUUAGGGAAACGGACAGAGGAUUGAAAUUUGAAGGUUGGAGAAUAGUAUUCUCUGAAAUCGAACCCACGAAAGUUGGAGCCUCAGAUUUUCAAUUUUCUUUCGAGUUGUUUUGUUCAUCUGUUGGUGGGGGUCAGUAGUAGUAGGAAGCUCUUCAAAGUUCGUUGUCUCAGGUUGCUGCUCCAGGAAAGGUAAUAUUCUCGUUUCUGCUUAUCGCUCUUUCCUUUCAGAUGAAGUGUGUUCUGUUUUUGUCACUGUUCGAAUAGUAUAAUUCUUCCAGAUUUCAAGAUUUGAUUAGUGACUUGUUACACCUCUUCAUACUGUUUGUUGUAUUCACUGCUUAAGUUUGGUGUAUGGAUUAUUCGGAGAUCAUGCUCAAUAAAGGUGUAUCACUCAUAUCAGUACAUAUGUUUAUCUGUUGGUUGUAGCUUUGAAUUUCUAGUGUAUAUGUUGUUUUCGUCUUCAUUUGGAAUGAAGCUAAGACAAAUUUUCUUAUCCGUGUCUAAGUUGGUGUUUAACUGCAUCAUUCCUCCCUUCUCCAUAUGGCUUGAGAUUCGUUUUCUCACUGCAUAGAAUGAUAUUUUGCUUGGAAUUUCUGCCUUCUCCAGCUUAAUAAUUGUUGUUUAAAUGGUUUGUUGUUUGCUGUUUGUAAGUCAAGUCAGUACAAAUUUGUGUGUUCCUGUUUUAAUCGGCUGCAUCUUAGAUAUGUUGGAGUCGAAUUUAUUUUUUUUAGUUUACUUGAGGCUUGAUUUUAUUUGCAUAUCCUUUCAUGUGUGUAGCAUGUUGAUACAUGAUCUCAUAUGAGCUUCCAUCAACUCGAAUUCGUCAUGUUUAUGGCUUCUCUGUUCUUUCUUUUUCUUUUAAGUAAAAAAAAAUCAGCUUAUUGUAGCUCUCUUAAUUUGUAAGAUCUUCAUGAUAAUUGGCAUUGAUUAUUGAUUAGAUGUAUAACAUAUUGUUUCAUUAGCAGACUCUCUUUAUAUUUCUAAUUAUUGUUUGAAUGCUAAGUAUUUGUUUUAUAAUAAGAUGGUUCAUUCCUAUGAUGUCUAUGCAUAUUUCUUUACAGAUUUUGUUGUCGUAUAUGUAUGUGUUGGAGAAUGCCCAUAAGUCUAGGACUCUAAUAAUUAAGUGUUAAGGUUUUCUCUGUUUGUUAGCUUUGUUCCCUGUUUCUCUUAGUGCAGCUUGCUUGUCAUUAUUAAGUUUGAGGUGUUUGCUUUGUUGAUAUAUAUAGUUAGUUCAUUUUGUCUUCUUAAAUUCAUCUGGAACACUGGUUUUGAUGACCCUUUGAGUUUCGAGAUACUUAAGCUAUUCUCACCUCAAUUAAAAUCAUGUCUCACUUUUUUUUUCUUCAUCUCAAAUGCUAAUUUUUGUCUUUUCGUUUGUUGUGUGAACUCCAUCUGAGUCUACUUUGGACUCCUCUCCUUGCAUUUGUGAGUAUCGAGCCAGCCAUAGGUGUUCGAGGGUGUAAGGGAAGCAGAUUACAGGUCUCGAAAAGCAGAAAAAUGGGUUAUAUACAUUCGAUAUACAUAGAUAUACAAAUGAUGUAUAAAAAAAUGGGAAUUGGGUAAAAAAAGCCCAAAAAUUGCAGCAAAAUUGGCCCAAAUUCAUUUCUCUUUUACCUUUAAAUUAUUUAAUUGUCUUUAUUUAUUGUUUGUUUUUCUUA